AGGGCAUCAAUGCAAGUCAUACCUAAGGCUAAGAUCAAGUGUAGUAUUUAUUUUUAUCAGUUUGAUAUCUGAUAUGUGAGCUAUGUGCCCAUAAUGAUAUUAAAUUUAUUUUUUGUGAAAGAGGGUCCAUUACAGUGGCUUGCCAUUGGAACCCUUGGGACCCUCAGGUGUCGCCUGGGCGUUGCACUACAGCCCAGGCAGGCGCACCCCAA
Molecule: non-coding RNA, 212 nt
Organism: Triticum aestivum (bread wheat)
Lineage: Eukaryota; Viridiplantae; Streptophyta; Magnoliopsida; Poales; Poaceae
Source: Rfam